Molecule: long non-coding RNA, 2464 nt
Filed under: Homo sapiens (human)
Lineage: Eukaryota; Metazoa; Chordata; Mammalia; Primates; Hominidae
Description: HSALNT0302782
Source: RNAcentral
AUAAACCUGCUCUCCUAGGAGACCUGAAGGCUGCUUCCGCUAACCCGGGCUGGCGCUGCUAACCUCACCCAACGAUCCCUGCUGUCGGAAAAUGUCCAGAGGCACCAUCCCUGCUAUGAAGAGGGAAUGCCAGUACAACAGCCACAAGGGGUCUUCCUGUGGCCCUCAAACAAAAAAUCACUGCAUUACAUCAGCAGGCCGGACGCGGUGGUUCAUGCCUGUAAUCCCAGCACUGUGGGAGGCCGAGACGGGCGGAUCACGAGGUCAGCAGAUCGAGACCAUCCUGGCUAACACGACUGCAUUGGAGAGAAAGGCGCCGGGACAGAAAAGCCUGAGAUAAACCACCUGUCAUUCUUGGAGAAAAGGAUGCUGCGGCUUUCCCGAUUUGGUUGAUGAGAUGGAAAAUCAACCCUUACAGGAAGGACAUCACCAAUUCCGGAAAGGAUGCUGCGCCAGUCAUGUUUCCGCACUCUGUGAGACGUUGAAAUCUCCAGAAGUUGCCCAAGGUUUUCAAGCUGAACACAGGAGAAAUGACUCUGGAUCUCUGAGGACUGUUUUCCUCAAUAAGGAGCUGCAAUCUUGGCUCCACCACCCUCCCUCCAAAACAUCUCGUGUGUCUGGUAUCUGGUUAUAUUGUGGCCUGACAGAGAAGUUUCUUUCGGGGCCAGUGAAUUAAAAAAAAAAAAAAAAAGAAAAGCGGGUCCUACCAACUCAUUAAUACUUUAAUACUUUAAAUUUCCCUCUUUAUAGUAGGUUGAAAUGUCAGUAUCUCUUAAGAACAAUGGCUGAACCAAAUGUUUCCUCAAAACUCACAUUUUUUCCCACCAUUUCAGAAGCUGCCUCAGGACUAAGCUUUGAUUUUUUUUUUUUUUUUUAAUCUGGCCCAAAUUCCUAUCUAAGGGGCCUGGGGAGUCAUGCCCAACAAACCAUAAAUUCUCAUCAGAUGAGUUUUAUUUAACCCUAUAUAUGGUGACUUGCUUUCCAGUCUGACUCUGGCAUGACAUGUGACAAAGAAGAAAGUCAAAAUAUUUUACCCCAAAACAUGUUUCUUUGCCAUAUUUUGAAAUGGUCCUGCAAAGCUGUGCUUUGUGGGGGAAAAUAUGCAUCUGUAAAGAAUCUCUAUUAACACAGCUAGAUCUUUUUCUUCCAGGCCCUCCCAAUCCUGAAGAGACUGAGAGUCUAGCAUUGUUUUAAAGGUCUGAAUAGGAAACAUUUGUCAUCUAUCAUCUCUAAGGGUAGCCAUUAUAAGACUUCAAAAGAACCUUUUGAAGUAUUAUAAUCUUUUAUCUUAACCUGAACAUGUGCUUCCUAUUGAUCCCAGGUCUUCAGACAAUUGUGAACUCAACCAUUUGUCAAUUAGAAAAUGUUUAAAUUGGCUGGGCACAGUGUCUCAUGCCUCUAAUCCCAGCACUUUGGAAGACCAAGGCGGGCAGAUUGCCUGACCUCAGGAGUUCGAGACCAGCCUGGGCAACAUGGUGAAACCCCGUCUCUACUAAAAUACAAAAAUUUAGCCGGGCGUAGUGGCAUGCACCUGUAGUCCCAGCUACUUGGGAAGCUGAGGAAGGAGAAUUGCUUGAACCCGGCGGGCAGAGGUUGCAGUAAGCAGAGAUCGUGCCACUGCACUCCAGCUUGGGCAACAAAGUGAGACUCCAUCACAGAAAAAAAAAAGAAAAUGUUUACCUUUACCUAUAGCCUGGAAAUCCCUGCUUUGAGUUGCUCCAUCUUUCUGAACCAAACCAAUGUUAUUUCUUAAACGUAUUUCAUUGAUGUCUCAUGCCUCCCUAAAAUGUAUAAAACCAAGCUGUGCCCCGAACACCUUGGGCACAUGUUCUCAGGACCUCCUGAGGGCCGUGUCACGGGUCAUAAUCACUCAUAUUUGGCUCAGAAUAAAUCUCUUCAAACAUUUUACAGAGUUGACUCUUAGUCAACAUGUCCAUACCUGAUGAGAUGCUUCAUCAAAAUUCUAGUGGACUGGCUAGUUCAGAAAAUGGACCAGCCAGGUUUGCUUAAAUGCACCCCUGCACAACUAUCUCACUCCUGCUUGGAGCCGGCUAGAUCAGGAGACCUGUCCCUAAACUAAUGUACUCCAUGUCUUAAGUCUUUUUGUUUUGUUUUGUUUUUGUUUUUGACAGAGUCUCAGUCUGUCACCCAGGCUGGAGUGCAGUGGCGUGAUCUUGGCUCGCUGCAACCUCCGCCUCCCAGGUUCAAGAGAUUCUCCUGUCUCAGCCUCCCAAGUAGCUGGGACAACAGGUGUGCACCACCAUGCCCUGCUAAUUUUUGUGUUUUAAGUAGAGAUGGGGUCUCACCCUGUUGGCCAGGCUGGUCUCAAAUUCCUGACCUCAGGUGAUCCACCCACCUCGGCCUCCCAAAGUGCUGUAAUUACAGGCAUGAGCCACCGCACCCAGCCCAUGUGUCUUGGUCUUUUUUACUAAUAUUGAUUAUAAAAUGGAUGAAACUUUGGAUA